UGAGGGGGCAAGACUAGCAGUUGCAUCAAUGUCUUUGGAAGGAGAAAGAGUGGCAUUGAAAGGAAAAUCUCACCCCCACUGAGCAGCUUUCCGCUCUGGUGACUCUGAGCCUAUUACUUGCUCCUCAUUUUAUUCAGAACUUCCAUUGACAUUUGGAAAAGCUGACAUCUCUGUGCAUACAAACAAUAACUUCUCUAUGCACCAACAGCUGCUAUUCAUGUCUGAAUAUUCAAUUCACUUUUUUUGACAAUUCUGCAAUUCAUCUACAUGGACAGCGCGAAAGUGCGGGCUGCUGAGAUAAGUGAAAUUAUCCACUGCUGAUAAAUUCAGAUCAUGGACUGAAAUCAUGAGCUCAAGAUAGACUCUUCAGUAAAACUGGUACUUACUUAAGUUUUCUUCAUGCUGAUUGUAAAACCAAAGUUGUCAAAUGCUUUGGAGAACAAGUCCAUGCUACAAAGAAUGACCAAUUCUGAACUAUCAACGCAUGUUUCGUCACUGGCAAGUAGCAAACUGUGUUACAUCAAUAAAUGUGUAGAGUUUCAUUCUUGGGAUGAUUUAAUUUAAGUACUUACAAUGACUGUAAAUAGAAACUAUUUCUUCCUGUGAGAGAUGCCAGAAU
Molecule: long non-coding RNA, 619 nt
Organism: Chiloscyllium plagiosum (whitespotted bambooshark)
Lineage: Eukaryota; Metazoa; Chordata; Chondrichthyes; Orectolobiformes; Hemiscylliidae
Source: RefSeq, a predicted model, not a curated record